Long non-coding RNA from Passer montanus (Eurasian tree sparrow), 6665 nucleotides. RefSeq lists it as uncharacterized. The record is from RefSeq and is a predicted model, not a curated record. NCBI's taxonomy places the organism in Eukaryota, Metazoa, Chordata, Aves, Passeriformes, Passeridae. The transcript has 4 exons.
ACUAUUUGUUAAAAGGAAAAGCAUGUUUAUUUGGAUAAUAACAUAAAUUAAGAAACGUGUGGGAAGUCAGAUCUCCCAAACAGUAUAUUUGCUUGCUGUCCUUUGGUAACAGGGAGUCUCCAUUGGAAGGGUGUUUGCAGCUGAAUCUGCAGCUAGAUUGGGAAACUUCUUGAACAACUGUCCUAAUUAAAUUUUGCCUCUAUUUGCACCAAUCCAUCUAUGACUGAGUACAGAAGCAGUUUCUACUGACAAAUAAUCUUAUAUAUGUGCAUUUCUUCACAAAAAUUACCUGGAGGGAUAUUUGGGGUGCUCAACACAGGAUGUUAACCAACAUAUUUAAUCAUGUCAAUUAGACUAGACAUAAGAGGAGAUGCCUCGGGGGAAUUUGUAGGACUGUCUGAAGCUCUCACAUGAGGGGUCAGUCAAGCAGUGAUGGAGCUCAGGCAAUCCUCUACUUUCAAGCUGGUUUAUUGUCUCCAGCCAGCCCAUGUGCUCACUGGUGCAGGUGUCUGGCAGCUCCUGGAGCACACAGGGAGCUCAGUAGUGAAGAGCAGAGCAGCACAACCUCUACUCAGCUCCAGUGCAAUUAGACCUGAAGAACAAACUUGAUUUUCAUAUUGCACAAGAAAAUAAUUUGCUUGGUUUUUCUUGCCACAGGUGAGCAUCUCAUACUGCUAACGAUUUGAGCUGUGAUUAUUCAAAUUCCCAAUUCCCAGCGUGUGCUGCUCUAGGGUGGUACAAACAAGCCUCAGCAUCUUUCAUUAAAAUGAAAAGUAAUGUAUUUUCGUCUCACAAAAGAGCUGAGAUUAGUACAUGCAGGUGGUACAUCACAUUAGUACAUCACAACUUUUACCAUAGCUAAUGUGUGGUAAAUCACAGUGCAGCUAAGCUGGUGUGUGGUAAAUUACACUGUGGCUGAUGUGCAUCUGUGCCCUGGAAUUUAGAGCCUCCAGCAGGAUAAGAAAUUCUGUUCCAAUAAUUUGAGAGGCAACUGCAAGACCUUCACUGCUAGGCUGCUGAGAUGUAUUUAAAAGUUCAGUGACUUAAAAAAUCCUAGUUAAACUAAACAAAAAAUUGUUCUGUAAAGGUCAUGAGUUGUAUGGCUGUCCUCAAAGGGCCACAUCACUGCAGGCUGUUGUCUUAUGAUGUGAAAUUAGGACUCCUGAAAUUUAGUGUUGUGUUUCCAUCUGAGAAUUGGGCAGGGAAAGAUUGCAACAGUGGGAGGAAUUUGAAAGUGACAGAGAGCUGCAUUUCACAGAUUCUGAGCAGGUGAUUUGGGGUUUUUUUCUUGGUUACUUCCCAAAAUAACUCAGGCAAGGUGUUGUGACCUUCAGAAAGCAAAAGCCACUAACAGCAUAUUCUGCCUGAGCUCUGUCUCUGCCUGGGCAGUGGCUGUGCUUUUGUUGCUCCCAAAGAAAGAGUCCUGCUCCAGUAGCUGUGAGGAGACCUAAACCCCAGCUGAGAUACCUCAGAAUUGGGCACCCCCCACUUGGCAAUUCAGGCCCAUCCUUGGCAAGAAAUAAAGGAUGAGAGGUGGAAGAAAUCAGCAGGGCCCCUGAGGGGAAGGGGUAAGAGCAGCCCUGUUUGGACACCCAUGUUUUUCACUCAGCUGUUCCACAGAAACCAGCAGCCCAUCUCACCCAGUGCAGGGCAGAGGAUGUCUGACCCUGCCAAAGCUCAGCCACCUUGGCUCUGAUAUGCAGAUAUGGUUACCAAAGUACCAGGAAUGGCAGGACAUGGAAGCAGUUAGCACACCUGUUUUAUCUUCCUUGCACUGUAUCCAGCAGUACAAAACUAUUUGACUCCACAAAUAUGCAAUGGUGACUCUCUUAAGUAGCUGUUAUUUACACUGCAUGGUCAAAACCCAGUUUACAGCUAAAGAAAAAACUCCUGUUAGAUUUACCAGUUUGGGCUGGAGAGAAAAAAACAAGGGGUUUUGUUUGCCCAGUUUUGGAUACACAAAACCCCUUUUAGGUUUUUAGACAUAGAAUCGUUUCCCAAAUUUCAUUUGUUUUUCCAAAUGUAUUUGAUAGUCUAAUAAAACAGUGGUGGCCCCCUGCACCCAUGGGAACUGCUAGCUGGCCUUUAAGGGCAAUGCUGUGAGACUGCAGCCUCUGAGGCUGCCCUUCCCUUCCCUUGCGUCUUAGGAUGGAUUUGGUACCUUUUAGCUCCCUCUCCUGUCCAGCUGUAGAUACAUAUGUAGUGAACUUGUCUGAGGAGGCUUCUGGGUUGUUUCAAUUAAAGCAGUUGUUUAGAGCUCUCCCAAAUGAAGCACAAGUUCAUUAGAUAAUGGAAUACUCUUAACUUAUGAGCCUGGUGUAAGGUGGUCUUCAGUUUUAAUGAACAGACAGCAAUUUAAACAGCGUGGGCUGGGCACCGCAGGGCUACUGUCCCUGCUCUUACAUUUGGGGUUUUGAUUUCUUCCUCUCUGCCUUUUUAUCUGCUUUUUAUCUGCUUUAACACUGCAUGAGGAGUGCAGCAUUUCCUGGGAGGAGCCAGCCUGCUCGACUCUUCUCACUUAUCUAAGACAGACAAAGCAUGGCCUCGUGUUUUUCUGUGGCCUUUUCACAACUGCAUUAUUUCACUGAUGCAUUAUAAUUUUUGUUAUGCUUAUCCUCGUUCUUCAGGGCCAGGCUUUUGUAGCCUGGUUUGUCCAGAAAAGACAGAAAACAAUGUGCCUAUGGACUCAUAUGACUAUGAGCCCUCCAGGGAGAUUUGUGGAAGAGGUGGGAAUUAAGAUAAAUUAUUCAUUUAUAGUUUGAUAUAAACUCAGGUGUACUUCAGGGCUGGAGCACUCUUCCCUGGAGGCCAGCACUGCCCACCAAGGACCUCCUCUGUACAACUUGGAAACCCACUAAAACCUUACUCAUCAAAUUGUUUCCUUAAGAUGUUCCUAAAAUAUGAAAUAUAUAGCAAGCACAGGAUGAAGAUUAGGGAGGAGCUGCUUCCAGUGUUGCUACUUUCAACACAUUUAAAAAUUGGAUUUAUCUUGGGAAGCACUGCAGCCCCCUCGUUGGCACCUCAUAAGACACUUUUUGAUGACUGUUGUUGACUGGAAGACUCUUUGAUUCCAGUGAAUGAGCUGGUAUUCCAUUUCCAGCACAGACUGAACUAUGAAGCUCUGGGUUUCUUUGUAUCCCUGUAUUUACUAAAGAAAACUGAACCAUGACAACAACAAAGCCUGUGAAGUCAUUCUUCAUCUGCAAUAGGGGAACAAAGGGUGGAGGUUCUCUGCAGGCCACAUCAGAGCUGUGCUCCAGCACUGGGGCAUAGAGCCUCAACCUGUCCUGUGUGUGAGUGCUCCUCAGAGAUGAGCCUGUUGGACACGUGAGGAGCUCCUGGACACUGCAAGUUGAGCCAAUUGCUGGGCUCACAGAGCAUCCCAAACCACAUCUGUAGAAGGCUUGCAGUGUUUGGUCUAGGCUUCUGCUGCUUGCCAGCUGUGAAGGCCACUGGUGGACUUCCAGCCCAAGAGCUGCACUGCAGUUUGUGUCUUUCAUUUGGGCAGUGGUGUAGCAGGACUUCCCCUCUGCUGCAGAAGAGCUUAUCUCUUCCAUCAGCUGAUGCAACAGCUCAGGGCACCUUCCCCCCCUUGCAGGAAUCUGCCAAUUGGUGAGAUAACCCAAGAUAUCUGUCCUGUGGUGAGUUAUCUCUGGUACCAGGGAGGUGGAAUUCCCAGCUGGCCAUAAACAUCUUGCCUUGAGAGCAGAUUGAAGGGAGAUAAGCUUUGAAUUUCUGACUGACAGGCAUUUCACUUUACAAACGAUAAAAGCUACACAAAACCUUCACAAAGGAGAAGUCUUUUGCACAUUCCUUGGAAAUAUGUAGGGACCUCUCCUCAAGGUUUGGGAUGCUGGCCCUGAGUUGAACUUCUGAAAGCUGAGUUCCAUCUCAUGCAGCCCUUGGGGACCAUAUCCUUGUGCCAUCUCCCAGGCAGUGGGCAAGGCCAAAGCUGCUACCUGCAGCUAGGGGCUGUGCUUUCUGUGCUUCUCUCUCUGUGCCCUUGUCCAUAGGAGCUUCCCAAGGGGUUGCAGAGACCUACCACAAUGGCUGGAAGUACACAAGAUGGCAAGGGGACAGUGAUGUGGCUCUCAGCAUCUGUGCCCUGACAUGCCACAGUGCAUGGUGGUACAAGAACCACACCUGGCCAAGCUCAGUGGGAAGCACGGGGAGAGCAGUCACUGAGGGUGUGAACUGGGAGUCAUGGAAAGGAUAUGACUUCUCCAUCUCUUUUAUGGAGAUGAAGAUCUGUCCUCAGUCUUCCAGUAAUGAGCCAGUCCUGGGGAGGAAGAAGUCUUUAUCAGAGAAGACAAAAAAGAUCAGAACAAUACCCAAAGCCCAGAGAAAAUACGAAGGAGAUGUGCAGUAGAUUGAUGUUCACUCUCCAGGGUGAGGCCCAGAACAGGGUGAAUGUAAGGUCCAUUCUCCUUCAGGCUCUGCUCACCAUCCCAGACCUCUCUGUACUGCUUGCUUACAGACAAUUAACCAAAUUCCCUAUGUGACUGUUCCAUCUGCUGCCUUUUGCUUUUUCAUCAGCAGUGUGGCAGGUAGUGAUGCUGAAAUGAUAACACUUGUCAUCCACCUCUAAAACGAGCAUCCCAUGGAGUUAAACUAAUCCUGUGUGCCCCAGUACAUGGUUUCACAUUUGACUGGGUUUUUUUUUUUAAUGUUUUUGAGGCUUUUAUUUUUUUGUUUUGGUUUGGGUUUUUUCCCACUCACAGCCAUAAAGGUGAGGUUUAUUUUUAUUUUUCCCUGGUAAGACAUUAACAUUUUGGACAGCCAGCUCCAGCCAGGGAAGAAGUAUGAGCUAACCAAACGCUGCUUGUUCAAAAGCUUCCUUGUCUGAGCACACUGGGACAUGGUUGUCCCAUGUCUUAAUGGCCUUCUCUAUUGCAGUGCUAAGCUGAGUAAUACAUUUUAAAGAAUCCUUCCCAGACUUUGGAGAAAGUAAAAAAUUAACAAAUAAAGGGGGUCUUAAAUAUUUCUGUCUUCUUUGUUUUGGGUGGUAGAAUUGUUUUUCUUCCUAUUUAAGCAUUUUGCAUGAAAUGGAAGCAUUACCCAGGUCUGGAGUGGGACUGUGCAGAUUGGGUCUUUGGGGUCUGCUCCAAAACAGGGAUGGGGAUUGAGCUCUCUUUGUGACUUAACUCUGUGAAGUGCUUAACUGACCUGUGCUUGCUAGGACCUGGCUGAGGAGAGCCAGAGAGUUGUCUCUGGUGAGGUGAGGACUAAGUCCUUCAUCCUACAUUCAGGGCUGUGCCUCUCGGGUGGGCAGGUGAGCAGAGACUCAUCUGAGCUGUGUCAGGCUAUCCAAGCCCUGGCUUGGGGGAGGGAGGAGACUAAUGGUGAGAGGUGUAGAAAGGAAAAUUGUACUUGAAGUGUUUUGCAGGCUCUGUGCUAAGAGCAUGAGAGAAGGACACGGGGAAGCGAUGAGGGCUCUUUACUGUGAAGUGUUUUCUCCCUGUUGCCCACUUGUCUGUAGGCAAGGACAGAUUUCAGUUUGUUAUCCAGUUAAAGGGCUCAGUGAAGUCAUUGGGAAGGUGGCUGAGAUGGAGAGGGUGACCAGUCUCACAGACAGCCACUCUAAAAGUAAGUGUAUGCUCUAAAAAACAGCAGGCGUGAUUGUUACCUGUGACUUUUUCCUCUGCAGCAGCAAAACAUAAUCCCAUCCUAAAGCUGAAUCCCCCCGGAAGCAGGGAGUAUUCCCUUAGGUAGUAUAAGCUUUGUUUUUGUGCUAAGGGCAAAUGAGGCGCCUUAUUUGCAGCUUCUGAGGAGGGUCUGGCCUCCUAAUGCUCUUCUUACCAGGAAGGGCAAAGUGAGAGCUGCUGGAAAACCGCAGCAGAAAGUCAGUAUUCCCAACAGCCACAGGAUGGCAUUGUCCCUUCAGGCAGGAGAGACUCCCCGGUAUCCAGCUGGCCUCUGCGAAAGAACCUUUGUGGGGUUAACUAGAGCCUGUGCUACAGCCCGGGACUGCUCAGAUAGUGCAGUUUGUUUGCCUUGAGGGACUGGCUGUUCUGGUUUUGAGGCUCAGGAUGGUUGGGUAGUGCCAUAAAAAGGUCAUAUCCCUUUACUACCCUUGUUUUGCUGUAAUAUGUGGCCCUGUAACAGUGAUGUAGGAGUGCUAAUAAAUACAUUCUCAAAACCUCUGCCUUGCUCUGAGAUCACUUAAAAGUUUAUAUACUGAUUUGCAACACAUCUGGGGCAGAAUUUGAAUCCCAGAAGGCUUUGGCAUCACUGUGUUGAUCCUGUAGCUGGGUCCUACCAGCCAGGACCCACCUAUUGUGAUGUUUCUGGGACCCCAGAGAAAUGUUGCUGUAUUCACCCAGGAACAGGAGGAAGAGGAUGCCUCUUCCCAAAGAUACUGUGUUUCUGUGGUGUUGUAAUUUGGAGAGAAGCCUGAAGUGUCUUCCUGCACUGGACACUUGCUUGGAAAGCAGUAUAGUUACUUUUGGUCACUGCUCUAGGCUUUGUUGGCUGAAUAAAUAGUGGAAUGGUCAGUGAGGAUCCAAUUCUUCCACCAUAGAGGGAUUUAAUGGGCAUUUUUCCUUCCCUUCAACCUUUAGACUGCUCCAGGAGUCAUCUCAGCCACUGCAUAUAUCUAACCUAGGACCCUGGAACUAUCCUUUUCCCCUUGCAGCCCAGGCUACCCAAGAGCACCUUGCCCUAAA